RNAcentral lists this long non-coding RNA (1184 nucleotides) under Chrysolophus pictus (golden pheasant). Its description in RNAcentral is "lncRNA (ENSCPIG00010012633.1)". The record is from RNAcentral. Lineage: Eukaryota; Metazoa; Chordata; Aves; Galliformes; Phasianidae.
GGGGGCUGCGGUGGGGCCACUCCGGUACCCAUCGCCCCCGGCGCCGCCGUGCGCUCCCCGCGGAGGAGCUCGGGCCGCUCGUCUCCGCGAACGCUGCGGCAGCUCCUCGUUCCCCUACGUUUCUUCCCGACAGUUUUACAACACCACCACUAUCUGUGUGGGUUGGGGAGAGUUGGGUGCUUUUUUUUUUUUGCCUUUUUUUUUUUUUUUUUCCCCUNNNNNNNNNNNNNNNNNNNNNNNNNNNNNNNCUUUCCCUAAAGCGAAGCGUGAUGGCAGCGGGACACGCGCGCACACACUCCCGAGCCGCACACGCACACACGCUCCGACCCUCCUUUCCCACCCCUUUUCCUUACAUCCCGGCGACAAGGGUUUCUCUGGAAGGAAUUCACUCUCCGCCACGAAUCGGGAGAAACUGGGCUCCCGGGAAGCGCACCUCGGGCACUUUCCCCAUUUCCCACGCAGUCACAGGUGGAGGGGAGCGCACCUCACCGGCACCCAGAGUACAGACUGACAGCACCCCAUCUGCUGAGAAUGCCAGUAAGGUGCUGCCUGGACAUCCACAUAAUUCUGGGGUCAUCACUGUUAUUUACAAAAACAAAAUAAAUGGAAGGAAGAUGGGCAAAAUCUGCUGUUGCUGGGGAGGCUUUUUCAAAAAGAGCUGGCACGUGUUCUCUACCGAAUCCAGUCCAAGGAUUGUUAGUGUCUUUAGAAAGCAAGUGCCAUCGCUGCUUGAUGCAAUGAGCUGAGCUCUGGGAACCAGCACUAGUUAGCACCAGUUUCACUGAAAAAGACAGAAAGAAAGAAGAAAGACAACUAGAGUGAGAAAGAUUUUCCUCCCCCAAAAAAAGUACUUUUAAAAGAGGUUCCAUUAUGUAAAUGCACAGCAUUGUCUCAUUGUCUCUAUCCAGAGCUUCAUGCACAACUCAUUUUACAUGGGAAGGGGAAGAAAGAACCCCUCCUCCAUACAUAGUCCUUGGAACUUCAACAUCCCAUAAUAUAGGAGCCAUAGAGCUCUCCUCUACUUUCAAAUGCAAGCUUAUAAGUUUCAACCAAUUUCUUCUCUCUGCUUUCUCGGAUGAUUUUAAGAUGUAAGUCCUAGGAUUGUUUAAAACAACAAAGGCCUUGACAGUCUGAAUGUGGCAAUGAAAUCUUCAUCUUGAACUCAUGGCAGAGAUGUUCCAGGC